RNAcentral lists this ribosomal RNA (497 nucleotides) under uncultured bacterium. Its description in RNAcentral is "partial 16S ribosomal RNA". It matches the Rfam family "Bacterial small subunit ribosomal RNA", at positions 28 to 507 of the family's 1533-position model. The record is from RNAcentral.
GAUGAACGCUGGCGGCGUGCCUAAUACAUGCAGGUCGAGCGAACAGACGAGGAGCUUGCUCCUCUGACGUUAGCGGCGGACGGGUGAGUAACACGUGGAUAACCUACCUAUAAGACUGGGUUAACUUCGGGAAACCGGAGCUAAUACCGGAUAAUAUAUUGAACCGCAUGGUUCAAUAGUGAAAGACGGUUUUGCUGUCACUUAUAGAUGGAUCCGCGCCGCAUUAGCUAGUUGGUAAGGUAACGGCUUACCAAGGCAACGAUGCGUAGCCGACCUGAGAGGGUGAUCGGCCACACUGGAACUGAGACACGGUCCAGACUCCUACGGGAGGCAGCAGUAGGGAAUCUUCCGCAAUGGGCGAAAGCUUGACGGAGCAACGCCGCGUGAGUGAUGAAGGUCUUCGGAUCGUAAAACUCUGUUAUUAGGGAAGAACAAAUGUGUAAGUAACUAUGCACGUCUUGACGGUACCUAAUCAGAAAGCCACGGCUAACUACGUG